This 490-nucleotide ribosomal RNA is filed under the name uncultured bacterium. Its description in RNAcentral is "partial 16S ribosomal RNA". It matches the Rfam family "Bacterial small subunit ribosomal RNA", at positions 30 to 507 of the family's 1533-position model. The record is from RNAcentral.
AUUGAACGCUGGCGGCAUGCUUUACACAUGCAAGUCGGACGGCAGCACAGAGACGCUUGCUUCUUGGGUGGCGAGUGGCGAACGGGUGAGUAACAUAUCGGAACGUACCGAGCAGUGGGGGAUAACUAAUCGAAAGAUUAGCUAAUACCGCAUAUUUUCUGAGGAAGAAAGCAGGGGACCUUUGGGCCUUGCGCUGUUUGAGCGGCCGAUAUCUGAUUAGCUAGUUGGUGGGGUAAAGGCCUACCAAGGCGACGAUCAGUAGCGGGUCUGAGAGGAUGAUCCGCCACACUGGGACUGAGACACGGCCCAGACUCCUACGGGAGGCAGCAGUGGGGAAUUUUGGACAAUGGGCGCAAGCCUGAUCCAGCCAUGCCGCGUGUCUGAAGAAGGCCUUCGGGUUGUAAAGGACUUUUGUCAGGGAAGAAAAGGGCGGGGUUAAUACCCCUGUCUGAUGACGGUACCUGAAGAAUAAGCACCGGCUAACUACGUG